AACGAACGUUGGCGGCGUGGAUUAGGCAUGCAAGUCGAGCGAAUCCUUGAGGGCUUGCUCUCAAGGGGAAAGCGGCGUAAGGGGCAGUAAUGCAUGGAUAACCUACCCCGAGGUCAGGGAUAGCCAUCCUAACGGAUGGGUAAUACUUGAUACGAGGCAACUUAAAAGAUUUAUCGCCUCGGGAGGGGUUCAUGUGGUAUUAGCUUGUUGGUGAGGUAAUGGCUCACCAAGGCAAAGAUGCCUAGCUGGUGUGAGAGCACGACCAGCGCCACUGGCACUGAGACACUGGCCAGACUCCUACGGGUGGCAG
This 310-nucleotide ribosomal RNA is filed under the name uncultured Planctomycetota bacterium. RNAcentral's name for it is "bacterial SSU rRNA". It matches the Rfam family "Bacterial small subunit ribosomal RNA", at positions 29 to 351 of the family's 1533-position model. The record is from RNAcentral. Lineage: Bacteria; Pseudomonadati; Planctomycetota.